RNAcentral lists this ribosomal RNA (232 nucleotides) under Listeria monocytogenes. RNAcentral's name for it is "partial 23S ribosomal RNA". It matches the Rfam family "Bacterial large subunit ribosomal RNA", at positions 387 to 621 of the family's 2925-position model. The record is from RNAcentral. Lineage: Bacteria; Bacillati; Bacillota; Bacilli; Caryophanales; Listeriaceae.
GCUUUCCCUCCAGAGUGGAUCCUGAGUACGGCGGAACACGUGAAAUUCCGUCGGAAUCCGGGAGGACCAUCUCCCAAGGCUAAAUACUCCCUAGUGACCGAUAGGGAACCAGUACCGUGAGGGAAAGGUGAAAAGCACCCCGGAAGGGGAGUGAAACAGUUCCUGAAACCGUGUGCCUACAAGCAGUUAGAGCCCGUUAAUGGGUGGAAGCGUGCCUUUUGUAGAAUGAACC